GAUGAACGCUGGCGGCGUGCCUAAUACAUGCAAGUCGAGCGAACGGACGAGAAGCUUGCUUCUCUGAUGUUAGCGGCGGACGGGUGAGUAACACGUGGAUAACCUACCUAUAAGACUGGGAUAACUUCGGGAAACCGUAGCUAAUACCGGAUAAUAUUUUGAACCGCAUGGUUCAAAAGUGAAGGACGGUCUUGCUGUCACUUAUAGAUGGAUCCGCGCUGCAUUAGCUAGUUGGUAAGGUAACGGCUUACCAAGGCAACGAUGCAUAGCCGACCUGAGAGGGUGAUCGGCCACACUGGAACUGAGACACGGUCCAGACUCCUACGGGAGGCAGCAGUAGGGAAUCUUCCGCAAUGGGCGAAAGCCUGACGGAGCAACGCCGCGUGAGUGAUGAAGGUCUUCGGAUCGUAAAACUCUGUUAUUAGGAAAGAACAUAUGUGUAAGUAACUGUGCACAUCUUGACGGUACCUAAUCAGAAAGCCACGGCUAACUACGUG
RNAcentral lists this ribosomal RNA (497 nucleotides) under uncultured bacterium. RNAcentral describes it as "partial 16S ribosomal RNA". It matches the Rfam family "Bacterial small subunit ribosomal RNA", at positions 28 to 507 of the family's 1533-position model. The record is from RNAcentral.